Bubalus bubalis (water buffalo) is the source of this 348-nucleotide long non-coding RNA. RefSeq lists it as uncharacterized. The record is from RefSeq and is a predicted model, not a curated record. NCBI's taxonomy places the organism in Eukaryota, Metazoa, Chordata, Mammalia, Artiodactyla, Bovidae. The transcript is spliced from 2 exons.
GCCCAGGCCCACCCGCAGGGUCCAGGCCCCUCCAGACUGGGGCCUCUCCCACAGCCGCAGGGUCUGGUAGGGCACCAGCAGAGUGGACAGGAACAUGGGGACCCACGUCACCAGAGCCAAGGGCAGCUGUCCGAAGCUGAAGCCAGAGCUCUUGGAAGACAAACUACUGAGCCCACCUGCUGCAAGUACUGACGCUCUCGGGCCUUGAGCCCCUGCUCUGCAGCGGGAGAAGCCGCCGCAAUGAGAAGCCCUUGCAGCACAGCUAGAGUGGCCCCUGCUCCCCGCAACUGGAUGCUGCGAAGAAGACCCAGCACGGCCACAAACCAAUAAAUAAAAUCAUCAACAUUA